UGGUCAUUGUUUUCUGUCUUCUGUCCAUGCUCCUGUUCAUGCUUCUGUCCCAGUUUGUCUUUCCCCUUUUAUACCCCAACCUGACACCUAUUGCAAAUGGCAGUAAGAAAAUCUUCGGCGCUGGAAGAGGAAACGUUAGUUCUGGAUUAUGCGUGGCGAACCUGAAGACGAUCACUGCCCAAGACGUCUUUCUACCAUUCAACACUACCUGAGGGAGGACUGGAAGAAGACAGGAUAAGACACCCGUCUCCAUGACAACAGCAGGAUGGGGAGUGGUUGACUCUGUCUUUACCUCACUGAUGCUGGGGGCUCAAACACAGACACAGAUGACGGACAGUUUUUGCCUGAUGUUUACCUUUUUAAUGUAAAGGUGGCGACCAUGUUAUCAUCAACAUCAUGGCUGAUGUUAAUAUUCACCCAGACACAAUUUUUAAACUUCCAUUACUUCCUUGGUGUUUUUGUCUACAUAUGUGUAUAAAAAAGUGUCUAUAUAUUGUAUGUUUUUGCAGCAUGAAGGAUGUUACAAACCUGAACCAUGAAACUUGACCCACAUUUUCUGCAGAAAAAGGACUUCUUUGUAAGUCUUUGUAACAUCUAACCAACUUGUCAUUUCUGUAAAAUGUCACACAAAAUGCCAAUUUCUAAUCAAAGACAAACAAUUUUGCAGUAGUGAGGAUUAAAGUCAGAAAAAAGUGAAAUAUACUCUACAUACAAAACAAUAAACAAUAUAAAAUGACAUAAAAACAUUCAAAAAAGUUUCGAAAACAGCAAAAAAACCAAAACAUCUAUGUGAGAGUCGUCACUUCAGUGAUUUAUUACAGUUUCACUGACUGUCCUCAGACAAGUAAAAACUGUCUUAGUAAGUAGAAAUAUAUGCCA
Molecule: long non-coding RNA, 879 nt
Organism: Acanthopagrus latus (yellowfin seabream)
Lineage: Eukaryota; Metazoa; Chordata; Actinopteri; Spariformes; Sparidae
Exons: 2
Source: RefSeq, a predicted model, not a curated record